RNAcentral lists this ribosomal RNA (1154 nucleotides) under uncultured fungus. Its description in RNAcentral is "eukaryotic LSU rRNA". The stretch from base 525 to 1154 matches the Rfam family "Eukaryotic large subunit ribosomal RNA", at positions 1 to 649 of the family's 3401-position model. The record is from RNAcentral. Lineage: Eukaryota; Fungi.
AAGUCGUAACAAGGUUUCCGUAGGUGAACCUGCGGAAGGAUCAUUAAAGUUAUAGUCCCCUGGCCCUCUGGGUUGGGGUCUUCUAUACCACCCUUUGUUUAUUACACUUUUGUUGCUUUGGCAGGCCUGCCUCCGGGCUGCUGGCUCCGGCCGGCGAGCGUCUGCCAGAGGACCUAAACUCUGUUUGUCUAUGCUGUCUGAGUACUAUAUAAUAGUUAAAACUUUCAACAACGGAUCUCUUGGUUCUGGCAUCGAUGAAGAACGCAGCGAAAUGCGAUAAGUAAUGUGAAUUGCAGAAUUCAGUGAAUCAUCGAAUCUUUGAACGCACAUUGCGCCCCCUGGUAUUCCGGGGGGCAUGCCUGUCCGAGCGUCAUUACAACCCUCAAGCUCUGCUUGGUGUUGGGCCCCGCCGCCCCGGCGGGCCCUAAAGUCAGUGGCGGUGCCAUCCGGCUCCGAGCGUAGUAAUUCUUCUCGCUCUGGAGGUCCGGGUGUGUGCCCGCCAGCAACCCCCAAUUUUUUCAUGUUGACCUCGGAUCAGGUAGGGAUACCCGCUGAACUUAAGCAUAUCAAUAAGCGGAGGAAAAGAAACCAACAGGGAUUACCUCAGUAACGGCGAGUGAAGCGGUAACAGCUCAAAUUUGAAAUCUGGCCUCACGGUCCGAGUUGUAAUUUGUAGAGGAUGCUUCGAGCAUGGUCUGGCCUAAGUUCCUUGGAACAGGACGUCAUAGAGGGUGAGAAUCCCGUAUGCGACCAGGUGCCUACGCUCAUGUGAAGCUCCUUCGACGAGUCGAGUUGUUUGGGAAUGCAGCUCAAAAUGGGUGGUAAAUUUCAUCUAAAGCUAAAUAUUGGCCAGAGACCGAUAGCGCACAAGUAGAGUGAUCGAAAGAUGAAAAGCACUUUGGAAAGAGAGUUAAACAGUACGAGAAAUUGUUGAAAGGGAAGCGCUUGCAACCAGACUUGCGCGCGGCCGAUCAUCCGGUGUUCUCACCGGUGCACUCGGCCGUGCUCAGGCCAGCAUCGGUUUUGGCGGCUGGAUAAAGGCCCCAGGAAUGUGGCUCCUCUCGGGGAGUGUUAUAGCCUGGGGUGCAAUGCAGCCUGCUGGGACCGAGGACCGCGCUUCGGCUAGGAUGCUGGCGUAAUGGUUGUAAGCGGCC